AACGAACGCUGGCGGCAGGCCUAACACAUGCAAGUCGAACGCUCCGCAAGGGGGAGUGGCGCACGGGUGAGUAACACGUGGGAACCUACCUUCUGGUACGGAACAACCAAGGGAAACUUUGGCUAAGACCGUAUACGACCUCCGGGUGAAAGAUUGAUCGCCGGAAGAGGGGCCCGCGUCCGAUUAGGUAGUUGGUGAGGUAACGGCUCACCAAGCCUUCGAUCGGUAGCUGGUCUGAGAGGAUGACCAGCCACACUGGGACUGAGACACGGCCCCAGACUCCUACGGGAGGCAGCAGUGGGGAAUAUUGGACAAUGGGCGCAAGCCUGAUCCAGCCAUGCCGCGUGAGUGAUGAAGGCCUU
RNAcentral lists this ribosomal RNA (362 nucleotides) under uncultured bacterium. Its description in RNAcentral is "bacterial SSU rRNA". It matches the Rfam family "Bacterial small subunit ribosomal RNA", at positions 29 to 418 of the family's 1533-position model. The record is from RNAcentral.